RNAcentral lists this long non-coding RNA (872 nucleotides) under Amborella trichopoda. RNAcentral's name for it is "long non-coding RNA (ATRI_LNC001438)". Lineage: Eukaryota; Viridiplantae; Streptophyta; Magnoliopsida; Amborellales; Amborellaceae. The record is from RNAcentral.
UUGGCGAGAGAGAGAGAGGAGAGAGAAGAAAAAGUCUGGUACCCCUCGAUAAAGGUAACUUCCUCUCUCCUCCUCUCUUCUCUCUUUAUUUCUCUCUCCUCUCUUAUCUAUCUUGCUCUCUCCUCCCUUCGCUCUUUCUCUCUCCUCUAUUCUCUCUCAUCUCUUCUCUCUUUCUCUCUUUCUCUGUCCUCUCUUCUCUCUCUUUCCCCUCCUAUCUUACAUCUCUUUCUCUCUCCUCUCAUCUCUAUCUCAUUUCUCUCUCAUCUCAUUUCCAUGUCAUCACUCUCUCCUCUCAUCCCUAUCUCAUCUUUCUUUCUCUCUCCUCUCCUCUCUUCCUCUUUGCUUCUCUCUCAUCUUCUUCUUUCUGUCUUUCUCUUUCUUUCUCUUUUUUUUUUCUCUCUUCUCUCAACAUGAUGGUAGUGGGCCAUCGUUGUGCAUGUCUUUCACCCCUUUCCUCUUCAUCUCUGCUCUGUCUUUAAUCACCCCCUAUCGCUCCUAAUCUUUCCUCUCUCUUUCCUGAUCUUCUUUCUUUACUUUCCUUCUCUCUCUUCUUUCUUUCUCCCAAUUCUCUUCUUUCUCUCUCUUCUCCAUUCAUGCUUGGCGGUGCCUAUCGCCAGGCUUGAUGUCCUCCUCUAGACCACAUACAGUGAGCCGGACCUUAACCCGAGUGGCGGGUCGAGCCUCUAUCUGAGUUUUUUCCUUUGCCAUAGACAGCGGAAGCCCAUCGCCGUCCAUAUUUUCUCUCUCAUCUCUCCUGUCAUGGACAACGGAAUCCCAUCACCAUCCAUAUUUUCUCUCUUCCCUUCCCUUUGUCAUGGACGACAGAAGCUCAUCUGUCACACCCCCAAGCAAUUUCAAUACAGAUAUUCUUG